This 1361-nucleotide long non-coding RNA is filed under the name Musa acuminata (dwarf banana). Its description in RNAcentral is "long non-coding RNA (MACU_LNC008925)". The record is from RNAcentral. Lineage: Eukaryota; Viridiplantae; Streptophyta; Magnoliopsida; Zingiberales; Musaceae.
CAAAACCGUGCGAGUACGCCCAUCGCCCAAAGUGGACAAUUCCUCGCAAGCCUACGGGCCGCACCAAUGGUCAGCCAACCAAAUUGUCCCUUAUCAGAUUGGCACUAGAAGGAGGGCUCAAGGCCUGCACCUCGGUCGAGCAAACUCGCUUCCGAGCCGUGCACCUUGGCUAUGACCCCUUAGCUCUCUUACAGGAGGGAGCACUGAUAAGGCCAUUUAGUCCCACAUUGGUUGAGGAGUAUGGGAACCAAGGGCUCAUAAGUCCGACAGGUCUUCCUUACCCUCAAAGGCACCUUUUGCAGCUCACAUGCUCCGAAAAGGACAAAACCGUGCGGGUACGCCCAUCACCCAAAGCGGAUAAUUCCUCGCGAGCUUACGGGCCGCACCAAUGGUCGGCCGACCAAAUUGUCCCUUAUCAUAUUGGCGCUAAAAGGAGGGCCCAAAGCCUAUACCUUGGCCGAUCAAACUCAAUCCUGAGUUGUAUACCUUGGCUCUGAGCCCUUAGCUCCCCUACGGGAGGGAGCACUAAUAAGGCCAUUUAGUCUCACAUUGGUUGAGGGGUAUGGGAACUGAUAUUUUUUCUUUUAUUAUUGUGUGGCAUAAUUUUCAUCUUGGAUAGUGAGCUUUGAAAAAAUGUAGGAUCUUUGAUUGUAUGCCUUAAGCAUCUACUAUCUUUUACUCUAGCUUUUGUUUACAGACAUAUGUACAAGAAAGAGUGUUGGUUUAGGUAUCUAUUUAACUUUUGGUCUUUCAUGUUUAGCAUUAUCUUUGCUUCCUUUUAGGUUUAAAUUAUUUAUGGUUCUUUUUUAAUACCCAAAUUAAUUUAUAAUGGUCAUUCUUACUAAGGGAGCAUGUGUAAGCAUGAUGGUCAAUUUUUUUACAAAAAUUAUAUUUAAUUUUAGAUUUAUGGUCAUGCAAUGUGAGUCCUUUGACAAAUUUGGUUGGCUUAGCUUACGAUGAAUGUUACUCUUUGUAGUACUAAUAUCUUAGAAAAUAUAUAACCUUCUUUAGCAAGAAUAAUAUCAAGAAACUUAUUUUUUACUUUAAAUUUUUCUAAGAUAUGUCAUAAAAGCAUGUUUUCCUUUUUUAGUGAUUCUAUUACAUCAUCACUAUCAAGUGAAGUCUUUCAAGUAAUUUUAUAGUUUUUUAUUUAUUCUUUUUUUGUAUUUUUCAAACAUACAAGAUGGUGACAUACAUUUCUUCUGAGCAUUUUUCAAUGUAUCAAACUCAUUAGUGUUCAUUUCCAAUGAAUUAUAUUUUUGACCAAUCUUUUUAAGUCCAUCAUGUAAUUCAUAGAAUGUUUAAGUAAUUCUUAUGUGAUAAAGAUGUUUCAAGAGAGUUAAAUAUCUCAUUGUUGAAAG